GCAGUCGUACGAGAGUUUAAAACUCAAGUGGCGGACGGGUGAGUAACACGUAAGAAUUUACCUUUAGGAGGGGGACAACAGCUAGAAAUGACUGCUAAUACCCCAUAUGUUUUCGAAUGAAAUGGAUUUUUCCGCCUAGAGAGAAGCUUGCGGCUGAUUAGCUUGUUGGUAAGGUAAUGGCUUACCAAGGCGACGAUCAGUAUCUGGUUUGAGAGGAUGAUCAGACACACUGGAACUGAGACACGGUCCAGACUCCUACGGGAGGCAGCAGUGGGGAAUUUUCCGCAAUGGGCGAAAGCCUGACGGAGCAAUCUCGCGUGAGGGAUGACGGCCUAUGGGUUGUAAACCUCUUUUUUCAGGGAGGAAUAAAAUGACGUGUACCUGAAGAAUAAGCAUCGGCUAACUCCGUGCCAGCAGCCGCGGUAAGACGGAGGAUGCAAGUGUUAUCCGGAAUCACUGGGCGUAAAGCGUCUGUAGGUGGUCAAAUAAGUCAACUGUUAAAUCUUGAGGCUCAACCUCAAAACCGCAGUCGAAACUAUUAGACUAGAGUAUAGUAGGGGUAAAGGGAAUUUCCAGUGGAGCGGUGAAAUGCGUAGAGAUUGGAAGGAACACCGAUGGCGAAGGCACUUUACUGGGCUAUUACUAACACUCAGAGACGAAAGCUAGGGUAGCAAAUGGGAUUAGAUACCCUGGUAGUCCCCU
Molecule: ribosomal RNA, 702 nt
Filed under: uncultured phototrophic eukaryote
Lineage: Eukaryota
Description: bacterial SSU rRNA
Rfam family: Bacterial small subunit ribosomal RNA
Source: RNAcentral